Molecule: ribosomal RNA, 694 nt
Filed under: uncultured bacterium
Lineage: Bacteria
Description: bacterial SSU rRNA
Rfam family: Bacterial small subunit ribosomal RNA
Source: RNAcentral
GAGUAACGCGUGGGUAACCUGCCUUGUACUGGGGGACAACAAUUGGAAACGACUGCUAAUACCGCAUAAGCGCACAGCUUCGCAUGAAGCAGUGUGAAAAACUCCGGUGGUACAAGAUGGACCCGCGUCUGAUUAGCUGGUUGGUGAGGUAACGGCCCACCAAGGCGACGAUCAGUAGCCGGCCUGAGAGGGUGAACGGCCACAUUGGGACUGAGACACGGCCCAAACUCCUACGGGAGGCAGCAGUGGGGAAUAUUGCACAAUGGGGGAAACCCUGAUGCAGCAACGCCGCGUGAGUGAAGAAGUAUUUCGGUAUGUAAAGCUCUAUCAGCAGGAAAGAAAAUGACGGUACCUGACUAAGAAGCCCCGGCUAACUACGUGCCAGCAGCCGCGGUAAUACGUAGGGGGCAAGCGUUAUCCGGAUUUACUGGGUGUAAAGGGAGCGUAGACGGUUUUGCAAGUCUGAAGUGAAAGCCCGGGGCUUAACCCCGGGACUGCUUUGGAAACUGUAGGACUAGAGUGCAGGAGAGGUAAGUGGAAUUCCUAGUGUAGCGGUGAAAUGCGUAGAUAUUAGGAGGAACACCAGUGGCGAAGGCGGCUUACUGGACUGUAACUGACGUUGAGGCUCGAAAGCGUGGGGAGCAAACAGGAUUAGAUACCCUGGUAGUCCACGCCGUAAACGAUGAUUACUAGG